Molecule: ribosomal RNA, 468 nt
Filed under: uncultured bacterium
Lineage: Bacteria
Description: partial 16S ribosomal RNA
Rfam family: Bacterial small subunit ribosomal RNA
Source: RNAcentral
GACGAACGCUGGCGGCGUGCUUAACACAUGCAAGUCGAACGGAAAGGCCCUGCUUUUGUGGGGUGCUCGAGUGGCGAACGGGUGAGUAACACGUGAGUAACCUGCCCUUGACUUUGGGAUAACUUCAGGAAACUGGGGCUAAUACCGGAUAGGAGCUCCUGCUGCAUGGUGGGGGUUGGAAAGUUUCGGCGGUUGGGGAUGGACUCGCGGCUUAUCAGCUUGUUGGUGGGGUAGUGGCUUACCAAGGCUUUGACGGGUAGCCGGCCUGAGAGGGUGACCGGCCACAUUGGGACUGAGAUACGGCCCAGACUCCUACGGGAGGCAGCAGUGGGGAAUAUUGCACAAUGGGCGGAAGCCUGAGGCAGCAACGCCGCGUGCGGGAUGACGGCCUUCGGGUUGUAAACCGCUUUCGCCUGUGACGAAGCGUGAGUGACGGUAAUGGGUAAAGAAGCACCGGCUAACUACGUA